This 224-nucleotide unclassified non-coding RNA is filed under the name Hevea brasiliensis (rubber tree). Lineage: Eukaryota; Viridiplantae; Streptophyta; Magnoliopsida; Malpighiales; Euphorbiaceae. The record is from RNAcentral.
GUUUCAGAACGGAACUACGGGCUUUUCUAUCCUAGUAAAGAAAAGGUUUACGAUAUUACGCUUACUCUAGAAGGUUUAGAGGCUGGGGUUAAUAACGGAAGUAAAAGCCAGGUGGUGAAGAUUCCGGUACCGUCUCCGUCGUCGUCGCCGUCUCCAGCGCCGGUUGUUGGCGGCGGUGUGGAGGAGAGUAAGGUGGUGAACACGUGGUGUGUGGCGAAUGAGAA